Molecule: small RNA, 28 nt
Filed under: Bombyx mori (domestic silkworm)
Lineage: Eukaryota; Metazoa; Arthropoda; Insecta; Lepidoptera; Bombycidae
Description: ovarian small RNA-16946
Source: RNAcentral
GCGGCGCGGGAAUUUUGCGGACAGACGC